GCCCAAGAGAUCGGGAUAACACCUGGAAACAGAUGCUAAUACCGGAUAACAACAGAUGAUGCCUAUCAACUGUUUAAAAGAUGGUUCUGCUAUCACUCUUGGAUGGACCUGCGGUGCAUUAGCUAGUUGGUAGGGUAACGGCCUACCAAGGCGAUGAUGCAUAGCCGAGUCGAGAGACUGAUCGGCCACAUUGGGACUGAGACACGGCCCAAACUCCUACGGGAGGCAGCAGUUC
RNAcentral lists this ribosomal RNA (235 nucleotides) under uncultured Lactobacillus sp. RNAcentral's name for it is "partial 16S ribosomal RNA". It matches the Rfam family "Bacterial small subunit ribosomal RNA", at positions 128 to 355 of the family's 1533-position model. The record is from RNAcentral. Lineage: Bacteria; Bacillati; Bacillota; Bacilli; Lactobacillales; Lactobacillaceae.